This is a long non-coding RNA of Carassius gibelio (silver crucian carp), 1513 nucleotides long. RefSeq lists it as uncharacterized. The transcript is spliced from 5 exons. Lineage: Eukaryota; Metazoa; Chordata; Actinopteri; Cypriniformes; Cyprinidae. The record is from RefSeq and is a predicted model, not a curated record.
AAAUUAACUAUAGUUGUACCACUGUAAUGGUAGUGUUUUAAUGUGCUUUUAUAUGACAUUUCACAGUAAUCACAUUUACUGUACCAUGCUUGUAAUACCUUUUUUUUUUUUUUUUUUUUUUUUUUACAUUAAAAAACAUUUUUCCCAUAUUGCAGUUCAAUUCAUAUUGGUUUAUAUCUUAAAUAUUUUGCUCACAGAUCACUAUUAACAUUCUGUAUAUAAUUCUGUUUUAUUUUCUUUCCCCUUGUAUUAAUUUUUUAGCUGAAAAGACGUAAAGUAAGCAGUCACCCCAGUGGUGUUUGUGGAGAGGUAUUCCUUCAGAAAUGAAGAAGACAGAAAGCUGCAGAGGCAGGAUUGUUUGCAGAUAAUGCUGUUCUUCUUUUUCAGAAGUUUUUGGGGAGCCAACCCUCACAAACCUUCCUAAAAACUAAAAGAGCUAUUACUGAGUCUCAGCGACUCUUGCCACGAUCAGCUCUUCCCAGAAGAGAAGGAAGACCAAGGAAAUGAUUUGCUCAGGAUGAGAAAUGAAGAUGGUCAUCUUGUGCUCAAGCAAACAGAAGUCCUCUGAUGAUCUCAUCAACCAAAUGAGGGGUUUUGACCAAGUGAUGCUCUUGAAAGGAGUGAAAGAAGAGGAUGUGGUAAAUUGUCUUCAGAGAAAAAGCUUCUCAAAAGAUCUUAAAACAGCUUGAAGAAUGGUCUGGGAUCUUAGGACUGGGAGAUCUCACUUGCACCCAGUUAACCUCCAUAGAGAACAUUUAUCAGAAGCGCUGUCUGGGCAGGGCAAGAAACAUCAUCAAGGAUGCCUCUCACCCUAACCAUGGACCUUUCACCCUCCUUCCAUCCGGCAGGCGUUACAGGAGCCUACGUUCUCGAACUAGUAGACUCAGGAAGAGCUUCUUCCCCGAGGCUGUGACACUCCUGAACACCACACCACCAAUCUAACCUGCACCUGCUCUUUUACUGCACUGGUCACGUACUUUACAUACAUGUAUUGCACUACUCAUAUUUUGCACAGACUGCACAUGGUUAAAUCCAUUACACUAUAAACUGUCUAAAGCUGUUACUGUACAAGCACAGUAAACUAUUUCUACAAUAAAUAUAAUUGCACUACUAUUAUUUUGCAUAUAAUAAAUUGUUAAACUAUACUUUUGCACACUCAUUCAACUGUAUUUAUUACCACUGUUCUCAAGUUCCUGCUAUUCAUAAUGUAUAUAUAAUUCUUCUUUGCUCUGUUCAUAAUGUACAUACAAUCCCUACAUUAAAUUCAUAUUUAUAUUCUGUAUAUACUCUGAUCAAUAUUGUAUAUAGCAACUCCACUGUAAAUUCUGUAUAUCAUAGCUUUACUUACUCUGCACUUUUAUGUAUAUAAAACACUAUAUUCUUGCACUUCUGGUUAGAUGCUAACUGCAUUUCAUUAGCUCUGUACUUGUACUCUGCAUAAUGACAAUAAAGUUGAAUCUAAUCUAAUCUAAUCUUCUGGCUGAGAACAAGCUACACCACAUCAGUGCUGGAU